Molecule: ribosomal RNA, 497 nt
Filed under: uncultured bacterium
Lineage: Bacteria
Description: partial 16S ribosomal RNA
Rfam family: Bacterial small subunit ribosomal RNA
Source: RNAcentral
GAUGAACGCUGGCGGCGUGCCUAAUACAUGCAAGUCGAGCGAACAGAUGAGGAGCUUGCUCCUCUGACGUUAGCGGCGGACGGGUGAGUAACACGUGGAUAACCUACCUAUAAGACUGGGAUAACUUCGGGAAACCGGAGCUAAUACCGGAUAAUAUAUUGAACCGCAUGGUUCAAUAGUGAAAGACGGUUUUGCUGUCACUUAUAGAUGGAUCCGCGCCGCAUUAGCUAGUUGGUAGGGUAACGGCUUACCAAGGCAACGAUGCGUAGCCGACCUGAGAGGGUGAUCGGCCACACUGGAACUUAGACACGGUCCAGACUCCUACGGGAGGCAGCAGUAGGGAAUCUUCCGCAAUGGGCGAAAGCCUGACGGAGCAACGCCGCGUGAGUGAUGAAGGUCUUCGGAUCGUAAAACUCUGUUAUUAGGGAAGAACAAAUGUGUAAGUAACUAUGCACGUCUUGACGGUACCUAAUCAGAAAGCCACGGCUAACUACGUG